CCCAGAUUUAACUCUUAGGACAGAAAGAAGGCAUAGCUCCAUCAUGAAGGUUGCCACCAGUUGUUUGGUUUUAGCGGCUUUAAUAGCUGUAGUUGUUAGUCAAGGAUUUCCCAUGGGUGCCAUGGGAAUGGGCGGCGGAAUGUCUCGCAUGAUGUUACCUAUGAUGCUGGGUGGUGGUGGUGGUUCUGAGAUGAGAAGGGCGAUGAUGAUGGCGCACAUGAUGGCUGGUAAUAGAGGAGGAGGAGGAGGAGGACAUGGUGGUGGAGGUUC
Long non-coding RNA from Patella vulgata (common limpet), 270 nucleotides. RefSeq lists it as uncharacterized. The record is from RefSeq and is a predicted model, not a curated record. Lineage: Eukaryota; Metazoa; Mollusca; Gastropoda; Patellidae. The transcript is spliced from 3 exons.